GUCGAACGGCAGCACGGGGGCAACCCUGGUGGCGAGUGGCGAACGGGUGAGUAAUACAUCGGAACGUGCCCAGUCGUGGGGGAUAACGUAGCGAAAGUUACGCUAAUACCGCAUACGAUCUACGGAUGAAAGCGGGGGACCGUAAGGCCUCGCGCGAUUGGAGCGGCCGAUGUCAGAUUAGGUAGUUGGUGAGGUAAAGGCUCACCAAGCCGACGAUCUGUAGCUGGUCUGAGAGGACGACCAGCCACACUGGGACUGAGACACGGCCCAGACUCCUACGGGAGGCAGCAGUGGGGAAUUUUGGACAAUGGGCGCAAGCCUGAUCCAGCCAUUCCGCGUGCAGGACGAAGGCCUUCGGGUUGUAAACUGCUUUUGUACGGAACGAAAAGGCUCUGGUUAAUACCCGGGGCUCAUGACGGUACCGUAAGAAUAAGCACCGGCUAACUACGUGCCAGCAGCCGCGGUAAUACGUAGGGUGCAAGCGUUAAUCGGAAUUACUGGGCGUAAAGCGUGCGCAGGCGGUGAUGUAAGACAGAUGUGAAAUCCCCGGGCUCAACCUGGGAACUGCAUUUGUGACUGCAUCGCUGGAGUGCGGCAGAGGGGGAUGGAAUUCCGCGUGUAGCAGUGAAAUGCGUAGAUAUGCGGAGGAACACCGAUGGCGAAGGCAAUCCCCUGGGCCUGCACUGACGCUCAUGCACGAAAGCGUGGGGAGCAAACAGGAUUAGAUACCCUGGUAGUCCACGCCCUAAACGAUGUCAACUGGUUGUUGGGUCUUCACUGACUCAGUAACGAAGCUAACGCGUGAAG
RNAcentral lists this ribosomal RNA (807 nucleotides) under uncultured Comamonadaceae bacterium. Its description in RNAcentral is "bacterial SSU rRNA". It matches the Rfam family "Bacterial small subunit ribosomal RNA", at positions 61 to 864 of the family's 1533-position model. The record is from RNAcentral. Lineage: Bacteria; Pseudomonadati; Pseudomonadota; Betaproteobacteria; Burkholderiales; Comamonadaceae.